CCUACGGGAGGCAGCAGUGAGGAAUAUUGGUCAAUGGCCGAGAGUCUGAACCAGCCAAGUCGCGUGAAGGAUGACUGCCCUAUGGGUUGUAAACUUCUUUUAUCAAGGAAUAAAACGAGGCUCGUGAGCCUUUUUGCAUGUACUUUAUGAAUAAGGAUCGGCUAACUCCGUGCCAGCAGCCGCGGUAAUACGGAGGAUCCGAGCGUUAUCCGGAUUUAUUGGGUUUAAAGGGAGCGUAGGUGGGUUGUUAAGUCAGUUGUGAAAGUUUGCGGCUCAACCGUAGAAGUGCAAUUGAUACUGGCAGUCUUGAGUACAGUGGAGGUAGGCGGAAUUCGUGGUGUAGCGGUGAAAUGCUUAGAUAUCACGAAGAACCCCGAUUGCGAAGGCAGCUUACUAAACUGUGACUGACAUUGAUGCUCGAAAGUGUGGGUAUCGAACAGGAUUAGAUACCCUGGUAGUC
RNAcentral lists this ribosomal RNA (460 nucleotides) under uncultured bacterium. Its description in RNAcentral is "partial 16S ribosomal RNA". It matches the Rfam family "Bacterial small subunit ribosomal RNA", at positions 338 to 795 of the family's 1533-position model. The record is from RNAcentral.